UUGAACGCUGGCGGCAUGCUUUACACAUGCACGUCGAACGGCAGCGCGGGCUUCGGCCUGGCGGCGAGUGGCGAACGGGUGAGUAAUGCAUCGGAACGUGCCCAGUAGUGGGGGAUAGCCCGGCGAAAGCCGGAUUAAUACCGCAUACGACCUGAGGGUGAAAGCGGGGGACCGAAAGGCCUCGCGCUAUUGGAGCGGCCGAUGUCGGAUUAGCUAGUUGGUGGGGUAAAGGCUUACCAAGGCGACGAUCCGUAGCUGGUCUGAGAAGACGACCAGCCACACUGGGACUGAGACACGGCCCAGACUCCUACGGGAGGCAGCAGUGGGGAAUUUUGGACAAUGGGGGCAACCCUGAUCCAGCCAUGCCGCGUGCGGGAAGAAGGCCUUCGGGUUGUAAACCGCUUUUGUUCGGGAAGAAAUCCUCUGGGCUAAUACCCCGGGGGGAUGACGGUACCGGAAGAAUAAGCACCGGCUAACUACGUG
Molecule: ribosomal RNA, 483 nt
Filed under: uncultured bacterium
Lineage: Bacteria
Description: partial 16S ribosomal RNA
Rfam family: Bacterial small subunit ribosomal RNA
Source: RNAcentral